This 497-nucleotide ribosomal RNA is filed under the name uncultured bacterium. RNAcentral's name for it is "partial 16S ribosomal RNA". It matches the Rfam family "Bacterial small subunit ribosomal RNA", at positions 28 to 507 of the family's 1533-position model. The record is from RNAcentral.
GAUGAACGCUGGCGGCGUGCCUAAUACAUGCAAGUCGAGCGAACAGACGAGGAGCUUGCUCCUUCGACGUUAGCGGCGGACGGGUGAGUAACACGUAGGUAACCUACCUAUAAGACUGGGAUAACUUCGGGAAACCGGAGCUAAUACCGGAUAAUAUUUCGAACCGCAUGGUUCGAUAGUGAAAGAUGGCUUUGCUAUCACUUAUAGAUGGACCUGCGCCGUAUUAGCUAGUUGGUAAGGUAACGGCUUACCAAGGCAACGAUACGUAGCCGACCUGAGAGGGUGAUCGGCCACACUGGAACUGGGACACGGUCCAGACUCCUACGGGAGGCAGCAGUAGGGAAUCUUCCGCAAAGGGCGAAAGCCUGACGGAGCAACGCCGCGUGAGUGAUGAAGGUCUUCGGAUCGUAAAACUCUGUUAUUAGGGAAGAACAAACGUGUAAGUAACUGUGCACGUCUUGACGGUACCUAAUCAGAAAGCCACGGCUAACUACGUG